GACGAAGGACCCAAGCGUUACCCGGAAUUACUGGGCGUAAAGAGUUGCGUAGGCGGUCUACUAAGUGGAAUGCGAAAUCUGGUGGCUCAACCAUCAAAUGGUAUUCCAAACUAGCAGACUUGAGGAUGGGAGAAGAGCAUGGAAUUGCUGGUGUAGGAGUGAAAUCCGUAGAUAUCAGCAGGAACACCAAUGGCGUAAGCAGUGCUCUAGACCAUUCCUGACGCUCAGGCACGAAAGCGUGGGGAGCGAACCGG
Molecule: ribosomal RNA, 254 nt
Filed under: uncultured bacterium
Lineage: Bacteria
Description: partial 16S ribosomal RNA
Rfam family: Bacterial small subunit ribosomal RNA
Source: RNAcentral